CGCCUCCUCAGUUUCUUUCCUCUUUUCCGAGUUUGAGAAUUCAAGUAAGAUUCGCACGACGCAGUCGGAUUUUUGGUCUUUUGAGCUGUUUGCCCUUCAAAGCUUCGAACUUUUCCUUUUGUAUUUGAUCUUUUUGGUUGUAAGUGGAGAUCAAACAAGUUUCAAGGGUUUCAUUGGGUUAGGAGGCGAGAAC
Molecule: long non-coding RNA, 193 nt
Organism: Dendrobium catenatum
Lineage: Eukaryota; Viridiplantae; Streptophyta; Magnoliopsida; Asparagales; Orchidaceae
Exons: 2
Source: RefSeq, a predicted model, not a curated record